UUAGUACUCCCUCCGUCCGAAAAUAUUUGUCGAAAGAAUGAAUGUAUCUAGACGUAUUUUAGUUUUAAAUACAUCAAUUUUUAUCCAUUUGUCCGGCAAAUAUUUACGGACGGGGGGAGUAUUGU
Triticum urartu is the source of this 125-nucleotide non-coding RNA. The record is from Rfam. NCBI's taxonomy places the organism in Eukaryota, Viridiplantae, Streptophyta, Magnoliopsida, Poales, Poaceae.